Molecule: ribosomal RNA, 468 nt
Filed under: uncultured bacterium
Lineage: Bacteria
Description: partial 16S ribosomal RNA
Rfam family: Bacterial small subunit ribosomal RNA
Source: RNAcentral
GACGAACGCUGGCGGCGUGCUUAACACAUGCAAGUCGAACGGAAAGGCCCUGCUUUUGUGGGGUGCUCGAGUGGCGAACGGGUGAGUAACACGUGAGUAACCUGCCCUUGACUUUGGGAUAACUUAAGGAAACUGGGGCAAAUACCGGAUAGGAGCUCCUGCUGCAUGGUGGGGGUUGGAAAGUUUCGGCGGGUGGGGAUGGACUCGCGGCUUAUCAGCUUGUUGGUGGGGUAGUGGCUUACCAAGGCUUUGACGGGUAGCCGGCCUGAGAGGGUGACCGGCCACAUUGGGACUGAGAUACGGCCCAGACUCCUACGGGAGGCAGCAGUGGGGAAUAUUGCACAAUGGGCGGAAGCCUGAUGCAGCAACGCCGCGUGCUGGAUGACGGCCUUCGGGUUGUAAACCGCUUUCGCCUGUGACGAAGCGUGAGUGACGGUAAUGGGUAAAGAAGCACCGGCUAACUACGUG